GACGAACGCUGGCGGCGUGCUUAACACAUGCAAGUCGAACGGAAAGGCCCUGCUUGCAGGGUACUCGAGUGGCGAACGGGUGAGUAACACUUGGGUGAUCUGCCCUGCACUUCGGGAUAAGCCUGGGAAACUGGGUCUAAUACCGGAUAGGAGCCAUUUUUAGUGUGAUGGUUGGAAAGUUUUUUCGGUGUAGGAUGAGCUCGCGGCCUAUCAGCUUGUUGGUGGGGUAAUGGCCUACCAAGGCGGCGACGGGUAGCCGGCCUGAGAGGGUGGACGGCCACAUUGGGACUGAGAUACGGCCCAGACUCCUACGGGAGGCAGCAGUGGGGAAUAUUGCACAAUGGGCGCAAGCCUGAUGCAGCGACGCCGCGUGGGGGAUGACGGCCUUCGGGUUGUAAACUCCUUUCGCUAGGGACGAAGCUUUUGUGACGGUACCUAGAUAAGAAGCACCGGCUAACUACGUG
RNAcentral lists this ribosomal RNA (464 nucleotides) under uncultured bacterium. Its description in RNAcentral is "partial 16S ribosomal RNA". It matches the Rfam family "Bacterial small subunit ribosomal RNA", at positions 28 to 507 of the family's 1533-position model. The record is from RNAcentral.